CAGUCGCCGCGGUAAUACAGAGGGUGCGAGCGUUAAUCGGAUUUACUGGGCGUAAAGCGUGCGUAGGCGGCUUUUUAAGUCGGAUGUGAAAUCCCUGAGCUUAACUUAGGAAUUGCAUUCGAUACUGGUUAGCUAGAGUGUGGGAGAGGAUGGUAGAAUUCCAGGUGUAGCGGUGAAAUGCGUAGAGAUCUGGAGGAAUACCGAUGGCGAAGGCAGCCAUCUGGCCUAACACUGACGCUGAGGUACGAAAGCAUGGGGAGCAAACAGGAUUAGAUACCCCGGUAGUCCCUGUCUCUUAUAC
This 301-nucleotide ribosomal RNA is filed under the name uncultured bacterium. Its description in RNAcentral is "partial 16S ribosomal RNA". It matches the Rfam family "Bacterial small subunit ribosomal RNA", at positions 509 to 807 of the family's 1533-position model. The record is from RNAcentral.